RNAcentral lists this ribosomal RNA (756 nucleotides) under uncultured bacterium. RNAcentral's name for it is "bacterial SSU rRNA". It matches the Rfam family "Bacterial small subunit ribosomal RNA", at positions 8 to 796 of the family's 1533-position model. The record is from RNAcentral.
AGAGUUUGAUCCUGGCUCAGAAUCAACGCUGGCGGCGUGCCUAACACAUGCAAGUCGAACGAGAAAGUGGAGCAAUCCAUGAGUAAAGUGGCGCACGGGUGAGUAACACGUGACUAACCUACCCUUGAGUGGGGGAUAACCUGGAGAAAUCCGGGCUAAUACCGCAUAACACCUACGGGUCAAAGGAGCAAUUCGCUUAAGGAGGGGGUCGCGGCAGAUUAGCUAGUUGGCGGGGUAAUGGCCCACCAAGGCGGUGAUCUGUAUCCGGCCUGAGAGGGCGCACGGACACACUGGAACUGAAACACGGUCCAGACUCCUACGGGAGGCAGCAGUGGGGAAUUUUGCGCAAUGGGGGAAACCCUGACGCAGCAACGCCGCGUGGAGGAUGAAGUCUCUUGGGACGUAAACUCCUUUCGACCGGGACGAUUAUGACGGUACCGGAAGAAGAAGCCCCGGCUAACUUCGUGCCAGCAGCCGCGGUAAUACGAGGGGGGCAAGCGUUGUUCGGAAUUAUUGGGCGUAAAGGGUGCGUAGGCGGUUCGGUAAGUCUUGUGUGAAAUCUUCGGGCUCAACUCGAAGUCUGCACUAGAAACUGCCGGGCUUGAGUGUGGGAGAGGUGAGUGGAAUUUCCGGUGUAGCGGUGAAAUGCGUAGAUAUCGGAAGGAACACCUGUGGCGAAAGCGGCUCACUGGACCAUAACUGACGCUGAUGCACGAAAGCUAGGGGAGCAAACAGGAUUAGAUACCCUAGUAGUCC